RNAcentral lists this ribosomal RNA (493 nucleotides) under uncultured bacterium. RNAcentral's name for it is "partial 16S ribosomal RNA". It matches the Rfam family "Bacterial small subunit ribosomal RNA", at positions 27 to 507 of the family's 1533-position model. The record is from RNAcentral.
GAGUGAACGCUGGCGGUAGGCCUACCACAUGCAAGUCGAACGGCAGCACAGUAAGAGCUUGCUCUUACGGGUGGCGAGUGGCGGACGGGUGAGGAAUACAUCGGAAUCUACUUUUUCGUGGGGGAUAACGUAGGGAAACUUACGCUAAUACCGCAUACGACCUACGGGUGAAAGCAGGGGAUCUUCGGACCUUGCGCGAUAGAAUGAGCCGAUGUCGGAUUAGCUAGUUGGCGGGGUAAAGGCCCACCAAGGCGACGAUCCGUAGCUGGUCUGAGAGGAUGAUCAGCCACACUGGAACUGCGACACGGUCCAGACUCCUACGGGAGGCAGCAGUGGGGAAUAUUGGACAAUGGGCGCAAGCCUGAUCCAGCCAUACCGCGUGGGUGAAGAAGGCCUUCGGGUUGUAAAGCCCUUUUGUUGGGAAAGAAAAGCAGCAGGUUAAUACCCCGCUGUUCUGACGGUACCCAAAGAAUAAGCACCGGCUAACUUCGUG